UAGGGAAUCUUCGGCAAUGGACGGAAGUCUGACCGAGCAACGCCGCGUGAGUGAAGAAGGUCUUCGGAUCGUAAAGCUCUGUUGUUAGAGAAGAACGUUGGCAGGAGUGGAAAAUCUACCAAGUGACGGUAACUAACCAGAAAGGGACGGCUAACUACGUGCCAGCAGCCGCGGUAAUACGUAGGUCCCGAGCGUUGUCCGGAUUUAUUGGGCGUAAAGCGAGCGCAGGCGGUUCUUUAAGUCUGAAGUUAAAGGCAGUGGCUUAACCAUUGUACGCUUUGGAAACUGGAGGACUUGAGUGCAGAAGGGGAGAGUGGAAUUCCAUGUGUAGCGGUGAAAUGCGUAGAUAUAUGGAGGAACACCGGUGGCGAAAGCGGCUCUCUGGUCUGUAACUGACGCUGAGGCUCGAAAGCGUGGGGAGCAAACAGG
Molecule: ribosomal RNA, 429 nt
Filed under: Bacillota bacterium
Lineage: Bacteria; Bacillati; Bacillota
Description: Firmicutes bacterium partial 16S ribosomal RNA
Rfam family: Bacterial small subunit ribosomal RNA
Source: RNAcentral